Molecule: unclassified non-coding RNA, 270 nt
Filed under: uncultured Actinomycetes bacterium
Lineage: Bacteria; Bacillati; Actinomycetota; Actinomycetes
Description: uncultured actinobacterium contains 16S-23S intergenic spacer region
Source: RNAcentral
UCCGAGUUGACCCCGGCGGUCUCCUGUGACCACCCCCGAAGGACACCACAUCUCUGCGGCUUUAGCGGCCAUGUCAAACCCAGGUAAGGUUCUUCGCGUUGCAUCGAAUUAAUCCGCAUGCUCCGCCGCUUGUGCGGGCCCCCGUCAAUUCCUUUGAGUUUUAGCCUUGCGGCCGUACUCCCCAGGCGGGGCGCUUAAUGCGUUAGCUACGGCACAGGAAACCGGAGAGGCCCCCCACACCUAGCGCCCAACGUUUACAGCGUGGACUAC